AUGAACAUUUUCUCUUCAGUGUUGGCACAUAUCGGUACUGUAUCAAACCGAACUUACAUUGUGGACCGAUAAAAUUCGCACACUAUUCGGUUUAUACUUUUACUUGUCGAUACCGAUCUAAUUUUUAGUUAAUACCACAAAAACCACCAAAAAUUCUGAUCAACUCUACAAAAUAAUUUCGACCCCUUUUAACUUUUGCAGUCAAAAUUGCACCAUAACUUAUACAAAAGGGAUACCAUUAAAUAAUCACAAUCCAUACACACAUAUCUCUACAUAAGUAUCAACAACAAAUAAACAUAAACAUCAUAAAAAAAAAAAAAACACAAUCCCCAAGAAAAGUGUUCAAGUUUCAGAAGUAAUCCUUAAGGCCUUAAUCUUAAAGCGAUACCUAGGAGCCCGAGGAAUGGCCUGACUGGGACCAAACCCAAACUGACCGGUUCCAGUCAUCAUGGGCGGACCAUCAUCAUAAACAUGGCCGACAAGCGCCCCGCAACUAUUACAAACAAGUUUGGUUCGUUUCCUCUGAAUCCCCAGUAAUUAAGGGUCUCGAAAAAGGGGUUUGAUCUUGUCUUCUUUGACAAAUCGAAACUUAGAAGAAUCGAUGUCGGCAAACGAGAGGGUGUUCUUGUUGCCGGCCUCGAAGUAGUAAUCGGGUGGGAAGAGGUUGGAUGUGUGGAGGUUGAGAUUUGUGCCGCAAGUGGUGCAGGUGUAGAUCGAUGCCAUUGAUGAUCUGAUGAGAUUGGAAUGGGGGGUUUGAUUGAUUGUAUUUGAAGAUGGUAUCGUCAAUGACUUUUUGUAAUUUCUUGUGGGACGCGUUGAAGAAACUUCUUUGUUUCUAGAAUUUUAAUAUUUUUGUUAAAAUAAAAUAUGUUUUCUUUCUAGAGAAAUGCAAUGCAAAAUCACAUUUGUUAACCUUUUUUAUGGCUAAAAUUU
Molecule: long non-coding RNA, 933 nt
Filed under: Helianthus annuus (common sunflower)
Lineage: Eukaryota; Viridiplantae; Streptophyta; Magnoliopsida; Asterales; Asteraceae
Description: hypothetical non coding rna
Source: RNAcentral